RNAcentral lists this ribosomal RNA (413 nucleotides) under uncultured microorganism. RNAcentral describes it as "bacterial SSU rRNA". It matches the Rfam family "Archaeal small subunit ribosomal RNA", at positions 459 to 872 of the family's 1478-position model. The record is from RNAcentral.
CAGCAGCCGCGGUAAUACCAGCACCUCGAGUGGUCAGGACGUUUAUUGGGCCUAAAGCAUCCGUAGCCGGCUCUGCAAGUCUUCGGUCAAAUCCACCUGCUCAACAGAUGGGCUGCUGGAGAUACUACAGAGCUAGGGAGUGGGAGAGGCAGACGGUAUUCAGUGGGUAGGGGUAAAAUCCUCUGAUCCAUUGAGGACCACCAGUGGCGAAGGCGGUCUGCCAGAACACGUUCGACGGUGAGGGAUGAAAGCUGGGGGAGCAAACCGGAUUAGAUACCCGGGUAGUCCCAGCUGUAAACGAUGCAAACUCGGUGAUGCAUUGGCUUAUGGCCAAUGCAGUGCCGCAGGGAAGCCGUUAAGUUUGCCGCCUGGGAAGUACGGACGCAAGUCUGAAACUUAAAGGAAUUGGCGGG